GAUGAACGCUGGCGGCGUGCCUAACACAUGCAAGUCGAGCGAACAGACGAGGAGCUUGCUCCUCUGACGUUAGCGGCGGACGGGUGAGUAACACGUGGAUAACCUACCUAUAAGACUGGGAUAACUUCGGGAAACCGGAGCUAAUACCGGAUAAUAUAUUGAACCGCAUGGUUCAAUAGUGAAAGACGGUUUUGCUGUCACUUUUAGAUGGAUCCGCGCCGCAUUAGCUAGUUGGUAAGGUAACGGCUUACCAAGGCAACGAUGCGUAGCCGACCUGAGAGGGUGAUCGGCCACACUGGAACUGAGACACGGUCCAGACUCCUACGGGAGGCAGCAGUAGGGAAUCUUCCGCAAUGGGCGAAAGCCUGACGGAGCAACGCCGCGUGAGUGAUGAAGGUCUUCGGAUCGUAAAACUCUGUUAUUAGGGAAGAACAAAUGUGUAAGUAACUAUGCACGUCUUGACGGUACCUAAACAGAAAGCCACGGCUAACUACGUG
This 497-nucleotide ribosomal RNA is filed under the name uncultured bacterium. Its description in RNAcentral is "partial 16S ribosomal RNA". It matches the Rfam family "Bacterial small subunit ribosomal RNA", at positions 28 to 507 of the family's 1533-position model. The record is from RNAcentral.